CGGCACCUAUCUUCGGAUAGAAGCGAGUGGCGAACGGCUGAGUAACACGUGGAGAACCUCGCCCCCUCCCCCGGGAUAGCCGCCCGAAAGGACGGGUAAUACCGGAUACCCCGGGGUGCCGCAUGGCACCCCGGCUAAAGCCCCGACGGGAGGGGAUGGCUCCGCGGCCCAUCAGGUAGACGGCGGGGUGACGGCCCACCGUGCCGACAACGGGUAGCCGGGUUGAGAGACCGACCGGCCAGAUUGGGACUGAGACACGGCCCAG
This 265-nucleotide ribosomal RNA is filed under the name uncultured bacterium. RNAcentral's name for it is "partial 16S ribosomal RNA". It matches the Rfam family "Bacterial small subunit ribosomal RNA", at positions 67 to 334 of the family's 1533-position model. The record is from RNAcentral.